CAGUAAAUAGUUUAAUUAAAACAUUAAUUUUGGAGAUUAAUAAUAGGCUACUUGCUUUUUGCUGA
This 65-nucleotide transfer RNA is filed under the name Bannacoris arboreus. RNAcentral's name for it is "tRNA-Pro". The record is from RNAcentral. Lineage: Eukaryota; Metazoa; Arthropoda; Insecta; Hemiptera; Urostylididae.